This 254-nucleotide ribosomal RNA is filed under the name uncultured bacterium. RNAcentral's name for it is "partial 16S ribosomal RNA". It matches the Rfam family "Bacterial small subunit ribosomal RNA", at positions 524 to 777 of the family's 1533-position model. The record is from RNAcentral.
UACAGAGGUCUCAAGCGUUGUUCGGAUUCAUUGGGCGUAAAGGGUGCGUAGGCGGCCUGUUAAGUCGAACGUGAAAUCCCCGGGCUCAACCCGGGAACUGCGUCCGAUACUGGCAGGCUUGAAUUCGGGAGAGGGAUGCGGAAUUCCAGGUGUAGCGGUGAAAUGCGUAGAUAUCUGGAGGAACACCGGUGGCGAAGGCGGCAUCCUGGACCGAGAUUGACGCUGAGGCGCGAAAGCCAGGGGAGCAAACGGGG